Long non-coding RNA from Pygocentrus nattereri (red-bellied piranha), 1562 nucleotides. The record is from Ensembl. NCBI's taxonomy places the organism in Eukaryota, Metazoa, Chordata, Actinopteri, Characiformes, Serrasalmidae.
GUUCGAUGUUUCGAUGAUCUUUUGCACGGCGUCUCCAUGGUGAGCUUGGUGUUGAAGCGGUUGCUCUGUGCUCGAUUGGCCCGCCCUGUUGUCAAGUAGACAUAUGACGCAGUUGCUAUGGUUUCGUUGGGAACGCGCACGCGCCGCUAGUCGCUAAUGGCGCCGAGGGCUGCAGGCUAACAGUAAACACGGAGCUGACGGGAGGAGUAAAGAGGAGAAACGGAGGCUUAUAAUGCAGUCAGAGAAGAAGAUAACGAAAGAAGACACCUGGAGGUCCAGUGAGUUAAGGAAGCACAUACAGGGGCAGGAUGAAGAGCACAGGAGGAGAGAACGAUCGAAGAGGGAAGAAACUCCCAGAAAACAGAGGAGCGGAGAGUCCACAGACCGCCGGCACAGAGACGGAGAGAGAGACGAGAGGAGAGAGAGAGAGAAGCAGAGAGAGAGAGACGGCGCGAGAGAGAGAGCGAAGCACAGAGAGCCAGAGCGGGACAGAGAAGAGGAGCGAAGGAGGGACGAGCGAGAGAGGAGGAAAGAGAGAGAUGGAGAGAGAAGGGGCUCAGAGAGGAGGGCUGAUCGGGAUGAGAAGGAGAACAGAGACCGAGAGAAGGAGAGGCAGAGAGAGAGAUACAAAGACAGGGAUAGAGAGGGACAGGGAGACUUGGGCAGACAUGGAGAGAAAGAGAGAGAGAGACUUAGAGAUAGAGAUAGGGAAGAGAGGGAUAGACUGAAAAACAGGGAAAGAGAGAGGGAGAAAGAGAGGUUCAGGGAGAAAGAGGGAGAGCAGGAGAAACAUAAAGAGAAAGAGAAAGAAAGGGAUAAAGACAGAGAGAGGGAGAGAAGGAGGGCAGAGAGGGAGAGGGAAAGAAGAAAAGAGAAGGAGGGGAGUAGAGAUGGGGAGGAAAAGCACAGGGAGAAGGAUAAAGAGCGAGAGAGGGAGAGGAGAGAGAGGCACAGAGAGAGGGAGGAACGCCACAGAGACGAAGAACAAGAACGGAGAGAACGUGAAAGGCGAGAGAAACACGGCCACAGAGAGAACUCCGGACACGCGGACAGAGAGGAAAGAAGGGAGCGGAGACGAAGAGAGAAAGAACGCCAUGAAGCUGGUGAGAGGGACUUCAGUGACGCCCGAGACACAGAGCGGCGGCAGCGACGCCAAGAGGGUGAAAGAACGAGGGAUAGAGAGGAGAGAGAUAAACGUAGAGAAAAGCGGCACGAGGAGUCGAAGAAGAGCAGCACUGAUCAAAGACAUGGAAAAUCGGAGAGCAAGAACAGGAGCGCUGAGCACGAGGUGGAGAACGAAGGCACUGAGGACGAUAAUGAGGCAGCUGAGGAAUAUGGGAAUGAUGAGUACGAGGAGGAUUUUGAGGUAGGAACACCGUUUCGGCUCUGAUGAGUCAUGAUUCAUAAUACCGGGGUGUUCAGGCAUGCGGGUUACAUGAUCACAAUGUUGUUGCUUUGUUUUUGAUUUUUAAUGCAUGCCUUCGAAUGAAUUGUCUUCUACAAGAGAAUGGUGAGUGUUGUGAAGAAGAGAUAGACGUGUAGAGAGACGUUUCCCCCGAAUG